RNAcentral lists this ribosomal RNA (378 nucleotides) under uncultured archaeon. Its description in RNAcentral is "bacterial SSU rRNA". It matches the Rfam family "Archaeal small subunit ribosomal RNA", at positions 345 to 727 of the family's 1478-position model. The record is from RNAcentral.
AAACUUUACAAUGCGGGAAACCGUGAUAAGGGAACCCCGAGUGCCUGUAUAUGCAGGCUGUCCAGGUGUCUAAAAAACACCUGAAGAAAGGGCCGGGCAAGACCGGUGCCAGCCGCCGCGGUAAUACCGGCGGCUCGAGUGGUGGCCACUUUUAUUGGGCUUAAAGCGUUCGUAGCUGGGUUGUUAAGUCUCUUGGGAAAUCUGACGGCUCAACCGUCAGGCGUCCAAGGGAUACUGGCAAUCUUGGAACCGGGAGAGGUGAGGGGUACUUCGGGGGUAGGAGUGAAAUCCUGUAAUCCUCGAGGGACCACCUGUGGCGAAGGCGCCUCACCAGAACGGCUUCGACAGUGAGGGACGAAAGCUGGGGGAGCAAACCGG